UGAUUUAGCACUGUCUAUGUCAGAAUUUGAUAUCAGUGUUAUGUUUACUUCGUAACCUUUCUUUAUGUUCUGGAACCAUUUCACAGGGAUUGGAAUUAUUUACCUACUGGUUUUGAAGAGCUGAUCUGUGAAAUUGUAUAGUCUUAGUAUUAUUUGGGGGAAGGUAUAUUUACUGAGACAAUGGGUAAGAGAGGAGCAUCAGUGUACUAGCCAGGACUUUGUAGGACAGGUUGAUCUGUAUGCCCUUGUAUAAUACAAGCUGAAAUGCUACCUGAGCCUCUUUCCUGUAAGCUCACACAUGAAUCUUGGAUUUUAUAUCUCUUUGAUAAAGAAAGCCCACCACAGAGCCUUCUAAUUGCUGAAGAAAUAAGAAAAUAAAAACCAAGUCAGAAUUUGAUCUAAUUCUUAGAGAUCCCCAUUUUAAUCCUUUCAGGCUCAGGCCCACCCACAGAAUUUUAGUCCAGUAGGUGUAAAGUGGGACCUAAGAUUUUAUAUUUUGAACAGAUCUUCAGAUGAUGCUUGUGUUCUAGGGACCACACUUUGAGAAGCAUUUCUCUAAGAUAUAGUUUGUGUAGAGAAAACCUGAAUAAAUGCUUGAUCAUUUCUAUUUAUUUCUCAGUUUUUGGAAUAAUUAUUCAGUUCCUUAAAAACCUUGAAAGGUGACCAGUAAUUUUUGUUCUAGUGACAUUAAGAACUCAAGCAUUUAAAAACAGAUUUGAUAUGGUCCAAUUACUUGUAGUUGUUCAUUUUGUUUUUGGUCCUCAGAUUGUCUCAUGUUUGGACAAUGGGAGCCCCUUCAAAGUUGACUCCUGUGUUCUUUUGGAAUGACCUACCCCAACAAUCUUUGAAAGCUUCUCCACUUUUGGGUACCA
This 872-nucleotide long non-coding RNA is filed under the name Homo sapiens (human). RNAcentral describes it as "HSALNT0171609". Lineage: Eukaryota; Metazoa; Chordata; Mammalia; Primates; Hominidae. The record is from RNAcentral.